GACGAACGCUGGCGGCGUGCCUAAUACAUGCAAGUAGGACGCAGUUGCGAACGGGUGAGUAACGCGUAGGUAACUACCUAUUAGAGGGGGAUAACUAUUGUAACCGAUAGCUAAUACCGCAUCCUAGUAGAUGUACCUGCGUUGUAUUAGCUAGUAGGUAGGGUAAUGGCCUACCUAGGCAACGAUACAUAGCCUGGUGGAGAGGUUGGUCGGCCACACUGGGACUGAGAGAAGGCCCAGGAUCCUUCGGGAGGCAGCAGUAGGGAAUCUUUGGCAAUGGGGGGAAACCUGACCGAGCAAAGCCGGGGGAGAGAAGAAGGUGUUCGGAUCUUAAAGGUCUGUUGUGAAGGAAGCGUUACUUAACCAGAAAGGGACGGCUAACUACGUGCCAGCCGCCGCGGUAAUAC
RNAcentral lists this ribosomal RNA (407 nucleotides) under uncultured bacterium. RNAcentral's name for it is "partial 16S ribosomal RNA". It matches the Rfam family "Bacterial small subunit ribosomal RNA", at positions 28 to 526 of the family's 1533-position model. The record is from RNAcentral.